UCACCGUGUCAGGCCCAUUUAACCCCGCAGCUAACUGGCGGAGCUUCGCCAGAUCCUGUUUCGGCGGGUGAUUUCUGAGCAGGUUCUGCCUGGUCCAGCGCUCGAGUGCUCGUUCGCGUCCUUUUCCUCAGUUCCCGUUUGUAUCGUUUCGGUCCAGCGCUUGGCCUAUUCCCGUGCUCGCGCUCUGCUUUAUCCACGCGUUGGGCCUCGCGCUAGAACCCAACGAUUGCAAGCCAUCUUCAGGCUUUUCCUUUUUUUCCCAUUUUUUUAUUUUGGAAAAGUGCUGUUGUUGGGCUUUAUUUUUUUCUUCCUAUGUUCCCUUUUGUCGAGCACAUGCGCGCUGCUCUCCCUCCUGUGCAGAGUCAAGUUGAGAGCCCAGCUCGUUCUUGGGCUUUUUGCCCUCUUCACUUUUCUGAUCUUGCAAUAUGUAGGCUCCUUUCCUCUCUUCCCCUUUUUUCAGCUUUUUUUAAGCUAAAAAAAACAUACAGAAAAAACUAGUAUGUUGGACUUUAUUUUUUCCCUUUUUGGGAGAGUGGUUUUUAGGGAGUAAAAUGGGUGGGGAAUAGCACUUUCAAUCACAUUUGCUAGACACUAUCAAUUGGGCGGAGCUAAUUGGCGGAACUUUGCCUAGUUGUGUUUCGGCGGACUAUUCCGACUAGGUGCCGUCUUCCACGCUGGCGCUUGUCCCGCGCAUAGCCUCUUCCGUCCCGUUCGUUCCUCAGUUCCUGUUUUGGCGGCGGCCCGCGCUCGCGCUGGGCCUCAUCCGCGCUGGGCUAUGGAAAAGUGUGGCUGCUUGACCACGUGCUGGAGCCCAAAGUCGUGCUAGAUCGUAAAAAGCUCAUCACGCAAUCUUGAAAAGCUCCUGAUGAGAUCAUUUCAAAUUCAUCAUGAACUUAGAAAAAUAAUUGAAGUCAUGUCUCAAGCAUUUUUGAAAACUAAAAGCACAUGAUGCGUUUGUUAAAAGCUCAUCGCUAGAAUGCUAAAAAGCUCAUUAUAAGAUCGUUAAAAGUUCAAGGAUUUUUGAAAAAGAAUGUACAAGACUUAU
RNAcentral lists this long non-coding RNA (1045 nucleotides) under Brachypodium distachyon (stiff brome). Its description in RNAcentral is "long non-coding RNA (BDIS_LNC003294)". Lineage: Eukaryota; Viridiplantae; Streptophyta; Magnoliopsida; Poales; Poaceae. The record is from RNAcentral.